ACGCGCCUACGGGACGCAGCAGUGAGGAAUAUUGGUCAAUGGCCGCAGGGCUGAACCAGCCAAGUCGCGUGAGGGAUGACGGUCCCAUGGAUUGUAAACCUCUUUUGUCAGGGAGCAAAGGGCGCCACGUGUGGCGCUUUGCGAGUACCUGAAGAAAAAGCAUCGGCUAACUCCGUGCCAGCAGCCGCGGUAAUACGGAGGAUGCGAGCGUUAUCCGGAUUUAUUGGGUUUAAAGGGUGCGCAGGCGGAAUGUCAAGUCAGCGGUAAAAUUUCGGGGCUCAACCCCGUCGUUCCGUUGAAACUGG
This 305-nucleotide ribosomal RNA is filed under the name uncultured bacterium. RNAcentral's name for it is "bacterial SSU rRNA". It matches the Rfam family "Bacterial small subunit ribosomal RNA", at positions 333 to 636 of the family's 1533-position model. The record is from RNAcentral.